Molecule: long non-coding RNA, 1650 nt
Filed under: Sus scrofa (pig)
Lineage: Eukaryota; Metazoa; Chordata; Mammalia; Artiodactyla; Suidae
Description: lncRNA (ENSSSCG00060049147.1)
Source: RNAcentral
GGGGCGCCCCCGGCCUGAGACUCCCUGGAAGCCUCGUCCGCGAGUCGCGGACUCGGGGCCCGGAGGGCGGCGGGAGGUCCUGCGCUGCGGUGCGGCUAUAGCGCCCGCGCUCCCCGCGGAAGAACCGCCGAGUCGAGCGCUGAAGGUGUGGCCCACCAGCAGGAGUGUCAGAACGUGCCGAGCCGCUCGAGUCGGAGUCGCCAGAACCCCCGGAAGACGAGCCGUUCACCGGCAGGCCAACUGGGGCUCCUUCGUGUAGUGGACUGUCAGCCAAGCGUCGGGAACGCAGUGUCGUGGGUGUGCGGCUGACCGGGUGAGGAGGAUCUUUCACAGAGACCGUGCCCCUCCGUGGAGUCCAGGAACAGGGCUGCACCUGCAGCAUAUGGAGGUUCCCAGGCUAGAGGUCAAAUCAGAGGUACAGCUGCCAGCCUACGCCACAGCCACGGCACCUCGGGAUCUGAGCCGCAUCUGUGACCUACAUCACAGCUCACAGCAACGCCGGAUCUUUAACCCACUGAGCAAGGCCAGGCCUCGAACCUGCAUCCUCAUGGAUACUAGUCGCCUUUGUUAACCACUGAGCCAUGAUGGGAACUCAUAUAAUUCCUGAUACAAUGUAAAGGCCAUGUAAAUAGUUGGCAGCACAGGACAAAUUCAAGUUUUGUUUUUUGGAAAUUCGUUUCAAAUAUUUUCCACCCAAAGUUGGUUGAAUCCAUGGAUGAGGUACCCACGGUUAGGAAGAGAUGACUGUACUAUAAUUACCUGCUCAUGUGGCUGUUUAUCCCACUACUGUGUGGGAUUCUUUUUUUCCUUUUUGGCCACCCCUUGCCAUGUGGAAGUUCCCCAGCCUGUGCCACAGCAGCGGCAAUGCCAAAUCCUUAACCCAUUCAGCCCCAGGGAGCUCCCACUGUGGGAUUCUUAACAUAGGGUAUUGUCUUAAUCAUCUCAAUGCCCAGCCACUCUCAGGUCAAUUACUAAUGUUUCCUUGACAGUCAUGUACUAAGAGCUGGGCAUGUUUCACCACUGAUUCCUUGCCAUAAGCCUUUAAUGUAGGCGCUGAGUUGGUGUCACACCACUUUCAACAGAUAAGUGAUCCUCUCCAGGUGACACAGGUAGUAAAUGGUGGAGCCAGUCUCAGGUUUAGCCAUCCUGCCUUCUUUUCUGAGUCCAUGAAGGAAUGGAAAGUCUAGACACAGCUGAUGCUGUGGGUCCUGAGCAAGUUCCCUUUCCCAGGCUUAGUUGUAUCACGUUUCGUCAUCUCUUUUUAAGUUUUAGUCAUAUUUUUGUUUUUGUCCUUUUAGGGCCGCGCCUGCAGCAUAGGGAAGUUCCCAGGAUGGGGUCUAAUCAAGAGCUGUAGCCACCGGCCUAUGCCACAGCCACAGCCACCUGGGAUCCGAGCCGCGUCUUCAACCUACACCGCAGCUCACAGCAACACUGGAUCCCCAAGCCACUGGGCGAGGCCAGGGAUCAAACCCACAACUUCAUGGUUCCUAGUCGAAUAUGUUUCUGCUGCACCAUGAUGGGAACUCCUGUACCCUUGUCUUUAAGAGAUAAAACCUCCUUAGAAGAUUAGAAAGGCGGACUCUUCUUCCCCUUCCCAGUGUCCGUGCUGGCAGCUAUUUGCUUUCCUGUAAUAAAGACUUGCUUGCUCGC